UACGUAGGGUGCAAGCGUUGUCCGGAAUUAUUGGGCGUAAAGAGCUCGUAGGCGGUCUGUCGCGUCGGCUGUGAAAACCCGGGGCUCAACCCCGGGCCUGCAGUCGAUACGGGCAGACUAGAGUGUGGUAGGGGAGACUGGAAUUCCUGGUGUAGCGGUGAAAUGCGUAGAGAUCCGGAGGAACACCAGUGGCGAAGGCGACACGCUGGGCCGUACCUGACACUGAUGCGCGACAGCAUGGGGAGCAAACAGG
This 253-nucleotide ribosomal RNA is filed under the name uncultured bacterium. RNAcentral's name for it is "partial 16S ribosomal RNA". It matches the Rfam family "Bacterial small subunit ribosomal RNA", at positions 524 to 776 of the family's 1533-position model. The record is from RNAcentral.